AUUAAUUCAGUAUUACCAUAAAUUCACUAAUAUCCAAGUAACUUAAUGGUUUGGUGUGAAUGGCACAGUCUGAAAUUGUAUCAAAUGCAGGAAAUCAAAUGUGAGAAUCUUUUUUUUUUUCAAAUAAGUCAUCUCAAUAUUACUUGCCGUUAUGUAGGUCCAGUGUACAAAUGCUAAUGAUCAAUUUACUGAUCUCUGGCCUCUGUGCAGACAUUCGUUUGAAUCUGUUCAUUGGAAUAAUCUAUUCUGAAU
Pelobates cultripes (western spadefoot toad) is the source of this 252-nucleotide non-coding RNA. Lineage: Eukaryota; Metazoa; Chordata; Amphibia; Anura; Pelobatidae. The record is from the annotation of a GenBank genome assembly.